CAUAUGGGGAAGACCAAGAUACAUGGAAUACGGAAUGAGUGUUGUUUUGAUCUUUGUGAUUAGUUUAAAUGCCAUCCUCAUACUAACAAUAACGGAUACAAGUCCAUUAGUCUACUGGUGCAAAAAUCUUUUCGCCAUCUGGUUGCUUGCAGUUGGGGCUCUCUUAGCUUAUAUGGUUCAUCAGUAGAUGGAAGAAAACUUCAAAAGGACGCUUGACAUUUUGUAGUUGGCUUUAAAAUUUCGCGACUCUCGGUCACUAACUUACUCACACGUAACGUGGGACUGCAUAAAUUUCAACUUUUUUAAUUCACAAUAUAUUUCUUUCAUAAUACGAAUAAACACUUUAAUUGUAAAUAACAACUUGUAUUGUUGUCAAUUUUUAUUGUAAUGAACUUGUAUUGAAGUAAUUUUGAUUGUUGUCAACAUGUCUUGUUGCCAACUUA
This is a long non-coding RNA of Xenia sp. Carnegie-2017, 443 nucleotides long. RefSeq lists it as uncharacterized. NCBI's taxonomy places the organism in Eukaryota, Metazoa, Cnidaria, Anthozoa, Malacalcyonacea, Xeniidae. The transcript is spliced from 2 exons. The record is from RefSeq and is a predicted model, not a curated record.